This 289-nucleotide unclassified non-coding RNA is filed under the name Hevea brasiliensis (rubber tree). The record is from RNAcentral. Lineage: Eukaryota; Viridiplantae; Streptophyta; Magnoliopsida; Malpighiales; Euphorbiaceae.
UCCGCCUUUACCUCCUCCAAUUCCACCACCACCACCAACUCCUCCUCCAGCACCACCUCCACCUCCAACACCACCUCCCACUCCCCCACCUUUGCCUCCUCCAAUUCCGCCUCCACCACCAACGCCACCUCCACCUCCGGCACCUCCUCCCCCUCCCCCACCUUUGCCUCCUCCUAUUCCGCCACCAGCACCACCACCAAGUCCUACUCCAGCACCACCUCCUACUCCCCCACCAGCACCACCUCCAGCACCACCUCCUACUCCACCACCUUUACCUCCUCCAACUCCG